This 1431-nucleotide ribosomal RNA is filed under the name metagenome. Its description in RNAcentral is "bacterial LSU rRNA". It matches the Rfam family "Bacterial large subunit ribosomal RNA", at positions 1410 to 2925 of the family's 2925-position model. The record is from RNAcentral.
CGUAGCCGAUGCACAUACGGUAGAAAUUCCGUAGCCUCUAUCAAUUUAAACACAGGGACACUUUUGAAGGGUUCAGCCGGGCGAUGGUUGCCCCGGUCGUAAGGGACUGCAAAUGAGCGGGAAGUGAAUUUGGAAGAAGGCGAGAAAAGCUGUGUGAAUAGAAGAUAGAGCCCGUACCGCAAACCGACACAGGUAGAUAGGAAGAAGAUUCUAAGGCCAACGGGAGAAGGGUUGUUAAGGAACUCGGCAAGUUGACCCCGUAACUUAGGGAGAAGGGGUGCUCUUUAAGGAGAGCCGCAGAGAAUAGGCCCAAGCGACUGUUUAGUAAAAACACAGCUCUAUGCUAAAUCGAAAGAUGACGUAUAUGGGGUGACACCUGCCCGGUGCCGGAAGGUUAAGAGGAGGAGUGAGAGCUCUGAAUUGAAGCCCCGGUAAACGGCGGCCGUAACUAUAACGGUCCUAAGGUAGCGAAAUUCCUUGUCAGGUAAGUUCUGACCCGCACGAAUGGUGUAACGAUUUGGGCACUGUCUCAACAACCUGCCCGGCGAAAUUGUAGUACCGGUGAAGAUGCCGGUUACCCGCGACUAGACGGAAAGACCCCAUGGAGCUUUACUGCAGCUUAAUAUUGAAUUUCGGUAUUUCAUGUACAGGAUAGGUGGGAGACAGGGAACCAUAGGCGUCAGCUUAUGGGGAGUCGACCUUGGGAUACCACUCUUGAGGUGCUGGAAUUCUAACCUGUGGCUCUGAAUCGAGUCAGGGGACAUAGUUAGGCGGGCAGUUUGACUGGGGCGGUCGCCUCCAAAAAGGUGACGGAGGCGCUCAAAGGUUCGCUCAGCAUGGAUGGAAACCAUGCUUUUGAGUGUAAACGCAAAAGCGAGCCUAACUGCGAGACUGACGGGUCGAGCAGUAACGAAAGUUGGAGUUAGUGAUCCGGCGGUAUGUGAGUGGAAAUGCCGUCGCUCAACGGAUAAAAGCUACCCUGGGGAUAACAGGCUGAUCUCCCCCAAGAGUCCACAUCGACGGGGAGGUUUGGCACCUCGAUGUCGGCUCAUCGCAUCCUGGGGCUGAAUUCGGUCCCAAGGGUUUGGCUGUUCGCCAAUUAAAGCGGUACGCGAGCUGGGUUCAGAACGUCGUGAGACAGUUCGGUCCCUAUCUGUCGUGGGCGUAGGAUAUUUGAAAGGAGCUGUCCCUAGUACGAGAGGACCGGGAUGGACGCACCGCUGGUGCACCAGUUGUCAUGCCAAUGGCACAGCUGGGCAGCUAUGUGCGGAACGGAUAAACGCUGAAGGCAUCUAAGCGUGAAGCCGACCUUAAGAUAAGAUAUCCCUUCAUAAGAGUAAGACCUCUCAUAGACUAUGAGUUUGAUAGGCCUAAGGUGUAAGCACAGUGAUGUGUUCAGCCUGCAGGUACUGAUCGGUCGAGGGCUUUUCC